GAUGAACGCUGGCGGCGUGCCUAACACAUGCAAGUCGAGCGAAGCGCCUUACUUGAUUUCUUCGGGAUGAAGUAUUGUGACUGAGCGGCGACGGGUGAGUACGCUGAUACUGCUCAUACAGGGGGAUAACAGUUAGAAAUGACUGCUAAUACCGCAUAAGACCACAGCACCGCAUGGUGCAGGGGUAAAAACUCCGGUGGUAUGAGAUGGAUCCGCGUCUGAUUAGCUAGUUGGUAAGGUAACGGCUUACCAAGGCAACGAUCAGUAGCCGACCUGAGAGGGUGACCGGCCACAUUGGGACUGAGACACGGCCCAA
Molecule: ribosomal RNA, 316 nt
Filed under: uncultured bacterium
Lineage: Bacteria
Description: bacterial SSU rRNA
Rfam family: Bacterial small subunit ribosomal RNA
Source: RNAcentral